CAGAGCCGCGGUAAUACGUAGGGUGCGAGCGUUAAUCGGAAUUACUGGGCGUAAAGCGUGCGCAGGCGGUUUUGUAAGACAGGCGUGAAAUCCCCGGGCUCAACCUGGGAAUGGCGCUUGUGACUGCAAAGCUAGAGUGCGGCAGAGGGGGAUGGAAUUCCGCGUGUAGCAGUGAAAUGCGUAGAUAUGCGGAGGAACACCGAUGGCGAAGGCAAUCCCCUGGGCCUGCACUGACGCUCAUGCACGAAAGCGUGGGGAGCAAACAGGAUUAGAUACCCCUGUAGUCCCUGUCUCUUAUACC
Molecule: ribosomal RNA, 301 nt
Filed under: uncultured bacterium
Lineage: Bacteria
Description: partial 16S ribosomal RNA
Rfam family: Bacterial small subunit ribosomal RNA
Source: RNAcentral